RNAcentral lists this ribosomal RNA (720 nucleotides) under uncultured bacterium. Its description in RNAcentral is "bacterial SSU rRNA". It matches the Rfam family "Bacterial small subunit ribosomal RNA", at positions 56 to 768 of the family's 1533-position model. The record is from RNAcentral.
UGCAGUCGGACGGUAACAGGGGAGCUUGCUCCCGCUGACGAGUGGCGGACGGGUGAGUAAUGCAUGGGAAUCUGCCCUUUAGUUGGGGAUACCGUAGGGAAACUUACGUUAAUACCGAAUAUGAUCUACGGAUUAAAGGUGCCCUCUUCUUGAAAGGUAUCGCUAAAGGAUGAGCCCAUGUUAGAUUAGCUAGUUGGUGAGGUAAUGGCUCACCAAGGCAUCGAUCUAUAGCUGGUUUGAGAGGAUGAUCAGCCACACUGGGACUGAGACACGGCCCAGACUCCUACGGGAGGCAGCAGUGGGGAAUAUUGCACAAUGGAGGAAACUCUGAUGCAGCCAUGCCGCGUGUGUGAAGAAGGCCCGAGGGUUGUAAAGCACUUUUAGUGAGGAGGAAAGGUUAGUAGUUAAUACCUGCUAGCUGUGACGUUACUCACAGAAAAAGCACCGGCUAACUCUGUGCCAGCAGCCGCGGUAAUACAGAGGGUGCAAGCGUUAUUCGGAAUUACUGGGCGUAAAGCGCGCGUAGGCGGAUUGUUAAGUCAGUUGUGAAAGCCCUGGGCUCAACCUAGGAACGGCGAUUGAAACUGGCAGUCUAGAGUUUAGUAGAGGGAAGGGGAAUUUCUGGAGUAGCAGUGAAAUGCGUAGAUAUCAGAAGGAACAUCAGUGGCGAAGGCGCCUUCCUGGACUAAAACUGACGCUGAGGUGCGAAAGCGUGGGGAG